RNAcentral lists this non-coding RNA (30 nucleotides) under Mus musculus (house mouse). The record is from RNAcentral. Lineage: Eukaryota; Metazoa; Chordata; Mammalia; Rodentia; Muridae.
UAUUAAGUGAACUUCUAAUCGUGCCUGGCC